ACCAGAGCUCAACAGCUCCGAAGAAUCAAGCUCUCCUCUGUUACUGCUCAGCAGCCCCAAUUCCUUUGGAUUUCUGGACUUCUCACCAAAAGCUCAGCCCAGCAGAGUUGGGAACUUUCCUCACGUGGAAGUGAACUACGCGGUACAUGUCUACAUCCCAGUUUAUAUACCACCAGCACCAAGGAAAGAGAUGGCCAUUUUUUAACAAGCAAUUUCAGAUCCACUAGCAAAUACCAUGACUUUGAGUAAAUGAAUACAUAAGAUAUUUUGUAAGGAAAACAGAAAAAAAAGCAGAAUUUACCGAAUGAAGAAAGGCCUGAUUUUUUGAAUUCAAAUGGGCUCUUUUCCUCGGUUGUUCUUUAUCUCUGUCAAUUUGACAAGGUUACCAAUGUAUGCAACAGUAUCAAUUUUGACUCAUCCACAAUUCAUGAUCAAAAAUAUCAAUUUUGAUUUACAAAAUUAUAUAUAUACUAAAACUGAUCCCGGAGACACUGUUCCUAGACUGUUCAUAGACUGUAGCUUAGGAAUAGUGAAAUGACGUUUGUGCCCCUGCUUGACUGGUUGCUCUCUUAGUUAUGUUCAGUAUAAUGGCAUUUUUGCCCUGAUGAACAGCUACAUAGCCCUCUUUCUCAGUUCGGUUCUCGUCCCGUAAGAAGCUGCUGCUUGGCUAACCCGCUCGCUGCUGCAGUGCUCAGUGUCGGUCAUGUAUCCUGCGUGGGCUCAGAGUUCCCCCUCCUUUUUGGGGGGGAGGUGCCCUCUGAUCCUGCUCGGGGUUUAUUCCCUUCGCCCGCAGCCCACUUGAACAAUCAGCAGGCAGAUUUAUCGUAGAAUGAAGAUCCAGCUUGACUCUAAGGACGAGGCAACUCAAAAUGGGUGUUAGCGACUCCGAUUUUGAUGAUCGUAUACGA
Molecule: long non-coding RNA, 908 nt
Organism: Prunus persica (peach)
Lineage: Eukaryota; Viridiplantae; Streptophyta; Magnoliopsida; Rosales; Rosaceae
Exons: 3
Source: RefSeq, a predicted model, not a curated record